Molecule: ribosomal RNA, 532 nt
Filed under: uncultured Rhizophagus
Lineage: Eukaryota; Fungi; Glomeromycota; Glomeromycetes; Glomerales; Glomeraceae
Description: LSU rRNA
Rfam family: Eukaryotic large subunit ribosomal RNA
Source: RNAcentral
UAAAAUGGGAGGUAAAUUUCUCCUAAGGCUAAAUAACGGCGAGAGACCGAUAGCGAACAAGUACCGUGAGGGAAAGAUGAAAAGAACUUUGAAAAGAGAGUUAAACAGUACGUGAAAUUGUUGAAAGGGAAACGAUUGAAGCCAGUCGUACCUAUGGGUAAUCAGCCUUUUGGGUGUGAUUUUGUGGAGCGUGAGGAGUUAAACGCCCUCAUGCCUGCAUAUUCGUGCACUUUGGGUGUACUUGCCCGUGUGUAAGUUAACAUCAAUUUUGGUGGUCAUAAAAUGGCUGGAGGAAUGUAGCUUCGAUCUUGUAUUGAAGUGUUAUAGCCUUCGGUAGAUGUGACGAUCGGGAUUGAGGAUUGCAACGGAUACCCUUCGGGGCUACCUGUCUGAUCUCUGAUUGUUGCUCUGGUGCCGAAAGCUUGCUUACGGUUAUCAAAGUCGAUGGUCAAUAGGUUAGAAUGGGUUAAAUUCGUUAAGGAUGUUGACGUAAUGGCUUUAAACGACCCGUCUUGAAACACGGACCAAGGAG